Molecule: long non-coding RNA, 549 nt
Organism: Drosophila subobscura
Lineage: Eukaryota; Metazoa; Arthropoda; Insecta; Diptera; Drosophilidae
Exons: 4
Source: RefSeq, a predicted model, not a curated record
UAGGACGAAAACAACGCGUGUUAAGGAAAAUAAUUAAUAAAAAGUGCGAUUAAAUGAUAAAUAAAGCUUGGAUAAAGGUUACAAGUCAGCGGAUAUAGAGGGAGACUAAAGCGGAGAUUACCGCUGUGUUUUUAUUCCCGUUGAUUAGUGUUUGAAAAUUAAAAAUAAGCUGUGUUAAAAAUAAGCUUAAAAACAUAACUCUAAUAACACAUCUUCAGGUAAUAAGUGCGCUGCCAACUGAUCAUCAAAGCCUUCACAGCUGAUUGGAAAUGUGGUGAAUUGCUGUGUUUAAAAAAUUAGUAUGCCAACAAGAACUUCGAAAACUGCAUUACAACACUUUUAUGAAGAGCAAAGAUACAGAGAUGCAGACACAGUGUGACUGUGUCGCCGCUACUCGUUUCUGUGGCAUUGUUUCCUGUCAACUGGCUGUCGCCUUGGCUUGCCUGUCAAAAUGCCAAGACCCCCCACCCCACUCUGGGAAAAGAGAAGACCAGACCCCAGAACAGAUCCACAAAAUGGGACGACACCACUCUCCGCUUUUCGUUUUAC